GGAAUAGGGGUGGGGUACGCUUAGCCCUCUCUUAGGGUGCUGAGGUCGAUGCCUGGCAGAGCCUGCCCUCACUAGUCUUACACUAAUCAACCCAAGCUCUGACUCCAGAGUCCCCUGCAACUUCAGAGGCAGUGGGGUGGUGGGCGCCCCAGGCUCACAAGUCCACCCACAGGUGGCCCACGGCUGGUAGGAGUGGUGCGGGAUUAUUUGGGGUCGUCUAUCUGGGGUGGGGGCCUCCUGAGUCCUCCUCAGCGUCUCACCUUGACUCCUCACAGGGCCUGGCCCGCUUCCUUCCACCAAUCCCAAGCGGCUGGUCAGACAGAGCAGCUCGCUUCUCUCUAACCACCAAUGCGCAAGUCAGUGGCAUCACAUCCGGGCCCCUGAGGCUUUCUUGGGUUGAAAGCGGAAGCGGAAACACGAUUCAGCGUGGAUGGGGGUGGGGGGGGAGGUCGGUGGAAGGGGCGGGUUUUUGGGACUGGGUUGAAAGCGGAAGCGGAACCCAAUUCAGCGUGGAUGGGGGUGGGAGGGGUGAGGUUGGUGGAGGGGCCCCGGUUUGUGGGGUGGCAGAUGGCGGUAUGACAGAGAGCCUGGGCGGGCUUCCCUCCGCCAAUCUCAAGCUGCGAGUCAGACGCAGAAGCUCGCUUGUCUCUAACCCCCAGGGCGCAAGUCAGUGGCAUCACAUCCGGGCAGAGCCUGCGCCUGCUUCCCUCCGUGGAUCUCGAGUUGCUGGUCAGACCAAUGCGCAAGUCAGGGAUGUCACAUCCGGGCCACCUGGGUUGACAGCAGGGGCGGAACCGGAUUCGGCCAGGGUGGGAGUUGGGGUGGGGGAGGAGGCGAGAGGUCCUGGGGUUAGGGGUUGA
Molecule: long non-coding RNA, 860 nt
Filed under: Pan paniscus (pygmy chimpanzee)
Lineage: Eukaryota; Metazoa; Chordata; Mammalia; Primates; Hominidae
Description: lncRNA (ENSPPAG00000045028.1)
Source: RNAcentral